RNAcentral lists this ribosomal RNA (254 nucleotides) under uncultured bacterium. RNAcentral's name for it is "partial 16S ribosomal RNA". It matches the Rfam family "Bacterial small subunit ribosomal RNA", at positions 524 to 776 of the family's 1533-position model. The record is from RNAcentral.
GACGUAGGGCGCGAGCGUUGUCCGGAUUUAUUGGGCGUAAAGAGCUCGUAGGUGGUUCGGUAAGUCGGAUGUGAAAUCUCCAGGCUCAACCUGGAGGGGUCAUUCGAUACUGCCGUGACUAGAGUUCGGUAGGGGAGUGUGGAAUUCCUGGUGGAGCGGUGAAAUGCGCAGAUAUCAGGAGGAACACCCGUAGCGAAGGCGGCACUCUGGGCCGAUACUGACACUGAGGAGCGAAAGCGUGGGGAGCGAACAGG